GGGGUUUUCUGAGGCCGGGACGGGGGUCAAUAGGGGGUCCUCCUUGGCGUGAGCUUCGCAGUAUGCCAUCAGGUCUGCCGCUGCCUUGGACACCUUUAUCCUGUCGAUGUUGGCCUCCAUCUUCAGCUGCUCCACCAGCUUGCGUGCCUGCGCUAUGCUCGCGGUGUUGUUGCUGGCCAUCGGCACGCCGGGCACACCCCGGUCGGGCAGCAGGCAGGAGUGGGGAUGGGGGCUCGGCACAGAGCCUGGAAUCCCAAAGCUGGGUCUCACUGGUGCCGGGCGUCCUUAGGGCAACAGCUGCUCUGCUUCGGCGUUCGACACCUGCGGGCGGUGCUGCCCCGGCUCUCCCCGCGGGGCGGCAGCGGUCGGACGGACGGACGGAUGGAGGGAUGGAUGGAGAAGGGAUGCGGGCUGGAGGCAGAGGGGCGGUCAGCAGCAGCCCGGAGCGGCGAGUCCCCACCCAGCUUUGUCUGCGCU
RNAcentral lists this long non-coding RNA (477 nucleotides) under Gallus gallus (chicken). The record is from RNAcentral. Lineage: Eukaryota; Metazoa; Chordata; Aves; Galliformes; Phasianidae.